UUUUUUUUUUUUUUUUUUUUUGGUGGCUGCCUUCAUUUGCUUUUUCAUAACAGAAUAUUGCUUGUAUUGGAGCUGGUAUGUGCAGUCCUAAAUAUAUAAUUUCCUGUGUGGCAGGGCUCAGGAGGCAGCUCUCAAUUAAUGUGUUUUCACACCACCCCUCUGAUUUUGGGUGAGCAGCCACCCUGCCUUAUUUGCAGGUGAGGAGCUGGAGACCCUUAUAAAUGGAUAGUGGAGUAUGAAAGUAAGUGGCUUUCACUUAACUAAGUGACUUUGUUGUUUGCUCUGAAUUUCCUGUGUACUAACAUAGGCCAUGCUGUGUUCCAGGAGGGUGCUCUAGGUAAAAUGCCUCUCAGAAUGAGACAAGGUGAUGACUUCGGAGUGGCUCCAGGGCCUUUUGUGUUUUGGGGCAAAUGGAGACUUUGGCUGGUGUGUCACAACCUUCUGCCUUUGCUUUUGUCAUAGAAAGAAACAAUCCUAAUUUGGGAAGAAAAACUCAAAAACAUGAUCACUCUUUAUUCAUUGUUAAAUUCUUGGGAUGGUUGUGCAUUCAAAACCCCUUGAGUAUUGGACAGGAAUUUGUGCUACAAAACAGUGGUGGGAUUUUCAGUUUUGAGCAGGAAGAGUUGGGGGUCAGUGUUUAGAGUGAAGUCUCUCAGCAAGCCAGGGGCCAAGAGAGUCAGUGUUACAAAGAAGCUGUUGUCUUUGACAGAGGGCUUCUGGAGCCUAGCUGUCUGAAAAUAAUUAGCCAAAUAAAUUAGGUGUGCUCCAUGCUAAGUAAUUCCGACAUUUGGCUUCCUAGGGGAAGGGAUAAUGUACAUACAGAGAUACCUCAGCUUGUCCUUUGUCCCUGGGAGGGGGCACCACGGAGAAGAUGGGGGCUGUUCUUUGCACAGGUAGUGACAGGCAGGAGAAGCUCUCGAAGCCUUUUGCUGACCAUGUGAUGGGGGUGAAUCCCCCAGUGGAUGGUGAGUGGGCAGAGCUGUCCUUCCCUGUGCAAGAAUGUCCUGCCACUGAGGGCAUGUUUGACUGCAGACUGGUGAUGAACGGCUGUAAAAAUUCCAUUCCAUGCAGGUGUGCUCCAUCAUGUUGGUGCAGGCACGGUAUGGGGCUCAUACAGGAGCUCCCAGAGUUGUGGGACUGUCCUGAGAGGUGCUGGUUAGAAAUGAGAGGGAGACAAGAGUGCCUUGGGCAACAGCUGAGCUGUAUCACUGCCACAUCCUUGUUUCCUGUCCUUUCUUUCACUCUGUUGUUAUUUAAAGUGCAUCCCAUGCAUCUCCUGGUGUUAUAUUAGCUGCUCCUUUCCUGAGAGGGGCUGGCAGUAGCAUCUUUGGGCCCACAUUCCUGUGCUGGUUUUCUCUCUCAAAAAGCAGUGGGAAUUUCAGCUUUUUGACCACUUUUAUAAUCCAGCAUUGCAGAGGUGCUCGCUGGUCACCCUCCCACUGGAGCCAUGCUCACCCCUUAGGGCUUUCACAGAGUGUUUUAAUCCUGCUGCAGGAUGGGAGCAGAGCAGGUUUUUUGGAGCCUGGAUGGGAGAGAGAUGCAGGUGGCAGCCAGCCAGAGGAGCCAGGUUUGUAUGUGGGUUUUGCACUGCAUCCUCCAAGUGUUCACAGCAAUCAGAAAUGAAUUUGCAGCCUCUGGAAGGGAGAAACUUCCCCCAUUAUGAUUUUGGCACCAUUGCACUGCAUAGGGUGGUUUGCUCCCUUCCUCAGUGUCCUGCCCUUGCUGCUCACACAUGCAGCAUUAAAGAAUCAGGAAUCCCAGCUGUGAGGAGUUGUUAAACCCAUAGUUCUGAGGUGCAUGGAAAACUUGAGUAAAGCAAUGACCAAACCUAUAUAUUUAUCCUAUCUCAAUGAAUGGAGGAAGCAAUGGGCUCCACCCUUGGUUUUCAAAAGCAUUAAAGGGAGAAAAAAGCCCACUAACACACAAAACCCCUCCAGCCCACCAUGGGCUGCACAUGCCCAGGAGCAGACGGGACCAUGGCCUGGAGCUGAGCACAGGAACAGUCCUGGCUGUGAUGGACCCAGACUCCUAUGAAAGGGAGCAGUGAAAUGGUGUCUCCACCAUGAGAGUGAGAAUCCAGGCUCUGUGCAAAGUCCCUUUCCUCCAGGAAGACAGGGAUUUCCAGGACCUGUGUAAGGAGCCCCGAGGCUGUGGUGGUACAGCUGCCUGCAGCACUGGCAGUGCCUCAGCUAAUCCUGCUCAGUGAAUUCCUGGCUCUCCUCUUCUGGGCCCUGCACUGAGACAGCAGCGUGGUUUUAAUGAGAGCACAAAAGUUAAAACUGGGGUUUUUCUACUUUUAAAAAUUAGUGGCAGACUGUGGCUGUUCAGGUUGCUAUUUUAACUGCUCCAGAUGUCAAGCAUGGCUCAGCCAAGAUCAAUGCGUAAUCCGAAGGAAAUACUAUUAAUUUCAAAGGAAUGUGGUCAAUAUUUAAAUAUUUUGGAUCUUUUUAACAUGUAGCCAGUGGUAGUGGUCUAACUGGGCUUAUUAACUCUGCUUUUGGAGCAGUGAUUCUAUUAGCAUGAAUUAAUGUCUAUUAACAUUAUCGAUUUCCAUUUAUUUUAAUGUGAGCACAUAACGAUACUGGUUAUUUUAGAUAUUCUCUGAGGCUGUACUGGGUCAGGAGCUGUUGGUUUAAGGCCUGAUCCCACAAGCUUUUAUCCUUCCAGUUCCUAUUUAAGCUCUGACUUAGCUCCAAGCCUGUAGAGUGGCUCCUGCUGACUCCAGCAGCAGUUGGGUUGAGCCUGCUCCGCUCCUGCUUCAUCCAGCCCCAGCGGCUUCAGCUCCAGCUGCACAGAGGCUUUGCUUGUCCCUGCAUGGCCAGGGUGGAUUUAACCCCUGGAGCACACCAGUAGCCACUGAAAUAUCCCCUCUGCUUUACCUGCACAUACAGUGGGAGCCAAUCUUGGCUCUUACACCCAGCAGCAGUGAGUGGGUUGAACCUGGUCUAUAUAUUAAAUUCUAUUUCUAAAUGAAGCCCAGGUAGACCCAUUUUCCCCCCCCCCCUCCUUCUUUGACUUUUUAUGCCUAUUAAAUGUAUAAAGCACUUAGAAGGCAAAGGGUUUGUAAUGAGUAACAGAGUCUUCUUGAAUGUUUUGUUAAAGGUAUGGAAAAUACAGAAAGCUUUGAGAAAAAAAUUUCCUUUAGAUUGAGUGGAAGAACAACUUAAAAUAACAGUUGGGGAAUGAGCUAGAAGUGGGCCCAUUUUUCAACAAAACACGGAGUCCAUAACUCAUCAUUUUCUUAACAAAAUAUCUGAUUUCAAUAGCUGUUGGAAUAUUUUCCUUGUAGAGGUCACACAUUUUUAGUGGAAGACGUGUCAUUUUUUUUUGUUAAAAACAUUUUUAAAAGCCAAAUUAUUCCCCCUUAAAAAAAAGUUUUAAAUUACUGGUGAAAUUACAGAAAAGUUGCAUAAGAAGAAGAUUAUGAACAGCCCAGAUAUAAUUUUUUUUUAAUUAGGCACUCAGGAAAAAAGAAAACCAAAAACCUAAAAUGCCACAGAUUUUAGUCUGCGUCAGAGAAUGCUCUCAUUAAAAGGAAACCUUCAGCUCCUUUGUCUGAAGAAACCUCACCCUUUGUUAAUGUUUAAGAGAAAUGGUUCUAGUUACUGAGAGUGUUUGCCUUGCUCAAAAAAAAUGUUUAUGUGGGAGAUGUUUUACAUUUGAGUGACGCCAGAGAGCCAAAAUGUGAAGCUGUAUUGGCAGUAAUGACCACGGGCUCAUGUAGCUGGAAAAAUUCAGCUGAAAGCCUUUGGGGAAAGGGGAGGAUUUCCCCUCCCACUCCAGGCAAGUGGGAUAUCUGGACAAGGCCAAGCUCUUUUUGGGUGGAAAUAUCUGGGGCAGGGCUGGUGCCAUCGCCCUGGCCGAGGGCACAUCUGGGCUGCACAUCUGGGGCGCUGCACACCUGUGGCUCUGUGCUGUUUCUGCCUGCAUGCACUAGAUGGCAUUGCCAACUUGGCUACAGGGGCUGUGGGCUCCCCUGGGCUCGGGGGGAGCACCAGCAGCUGCUGGGAUCGUUUGUGGGUUUUUACUCCUGAAGGUGUGGUAGUAGGGAGAGCAGGAUGGAGCUGGCAUGGGCAGCUCAGUGCCUGGCACUGCGAAGCUGCAGCCGUGGCUGAAGCCCACGGUGUGCCCGUCCUGGGACCUGCCUUUGGGCACCGAGCACACAGCAAGAAAUGGUCUUUGCUGCCACCACCAACUGCUACAAAUGAGGUGGGCAAAUACGAGAAAGGCCAGGUCAGUGGGAUAUGAAGGAGAAACCUGAAUACCAGGGACAUCAGGAGUUCAGCAGCGCCUCUUGAUUCCUCAUUCAGGCUGUUUAUUCCCUUUUGUUGUCUCCAGUGAGAGCCUUGCCCCUGUCCUCCCUGUCCCAGUUUCUCCCCUGGCUGUGCCUGCUGGGCUGGGAUCAGUAACACUGAAGCUGAACAGAAAGCUGUGAGAAGAGGGUGCACCUGAGGGGUUGUGACCUGGUUCCUUGUCUACAGCAGCUGGCACCGAAUGCCUGAAAAGCAUGAAAGCAUGCCAAAAAUGGAGGAAUUGUAAUCCAGAGAGCCUUCCUAACCUGUCACUUGCUCCUUGAACUCUGAGCUGCUUUCUAAAGGCCAAAGAUGCGUUGCUGGUUUUUUUUUUUAUAGCACUACAUCCAGUUGUGGAGAGCAAACCAAGUCAAUAAAAUCAAGAAAGAGCGCUUGUGUUGGAUCUGCAGCACAGUCAUAUCCCUGAAAGCAGGAAGCACACCCCAGGGCAGGUUCUCCAGGCAGCUCUGGAAUGCUGAACAGUGUGGGAACAAGCAGCCAGGGUUGCUUGGAGCCCUUCUUGUGCUCCAAGAUUGUGAGCACCUCCUGCCCUGCCAGUGUCAGCCCCAAGGCUUCACUGGGACAAAUGUGUCAUUGUUUGCUAUCCUGCCUUGCAGUUUCUCUUGAAAGCUAAAUCCUGAGUAGCAUUCAAGUAAAACAGAGUUCCUGCUUUCCCAGAUGGCAGCCAGUGAGGAACACGCUCCCUUAGAAACGUCUGCCAUCUCCAUCUUGUGUCCUCAGGCGGGUUGACAGCUUGUUUUUCAUUUGGAGUUCCCCUCGCUUGCCUGGGGUGUCCUUCAGGGCACUGGUGUGUGGCUGCCAACAGAUCUAAUGAUCAGCAAAAUUAUUAUUUGUGUUGUGUUAGCAUCUCAAAGUAUCCUUGUGACUUUCCAUGCUGCUCGGCUACGUCAUCAGUGUUGGCACUGCAGAAAUGCUGAUGAAAAAUGUUCAGGGUAAAUCUCCCCCUGGUUCCUACUGGAACCUUCUAAAAACUAGUGAUAUGGGAGACUUCAUGAUGCAACACUUCCCUUUCAGAAUACUUCUCUCUGCAUGUAACUAAGAGCUUGUUUAUGGGGAGAGCUGCUCACACCACUUUGGGCAUUCAAGUUUCCAUGGAGAGGGACCUGGCUGCCUUUCCUGCCUGGGAGAUGCAAGGCUUGGAGUAGAGCUGCUCUUAGAAAAUGAAGCAUUUGUGCUCAGCUGAGCCUCCCGGAAAGAGGACUUGGCCUGUGUGUGUUGUUUGGGCCAUCACAGGACUGUUCAGUCUGCAAUUCUUGGUUUCAUGCCUUGUUUUGUAUGAGAUAUUUUGUAGGAGCUUUGGCAAGUCUCCUCUCCAUCUUUUACCCCCUCAGAGGUACAGGCAGAAAAGAGAGAGAACUAAGAUAGCUGCGAGCUGGAAGUGCUGCUGCAGGGCUCUGUACUCCCAUUAACCCCUGAUUUACUGCCCUGCACCAAUGGCCCCACCAGUGCCAUGUGUUGACAUUUCUGAUGGAUGAUGGCCAUUCUCUUGUCAACAUGAGCCACCCUUGUGUGCCAGAUCUUCUGCUUAGGAUUCUGAGCAAAAACUUGGUGGUUCAUAUUAUAAACCUGCGCUGAAAUUAAGUUUUGUUUCUCUUUUAGGCAAACAUUCUUUUAGGAGCCAAAAAUUCUGCCAUCAAAAUGUAUAUAAAUUUACUGUUGUCAACCUUUUUGACUAACAUGAAAUGCAACUCGCUUUUUGGUAUUCCUGCAGACCUGUGUCAUGGGACAUAUUGAGAGAACAUCUGUACCAGUGACUGGGAGGUGGACAGGAAAUGUGUAUUUUUACUGCUCACAUAGGAAAGAAAUCUCAUUAGAUUUAUGUGAUCUCAAACCAGUUAAGUUCCCUGUGCAAAACCCAGGCCUCCAGCAGUGCAGCCUGUAUCUUUAAGACAAUGAAAAAUAAACCACCAGCAUCUGUAAUGUCCUUUUUAAUGGGAUGAAUUAGGAAGAAUGUGCAUGGACACAAUCCUAGAAACUACUCUAAGCAUAAGUGAUUGGAGAAGGAGGGUAGGAGAGCUUAUAAUUCUUCAACUUUGUUAAAGAAGCUGGUUAUGUGCAUGCAUGACUGGGAAUGCCAGUCUCCACACAUGCUGAUUACUACAGAUGCUCCAAGUAGUGUUCAUCUGCCAGGUAAACAAGUGAGAUACUCAUAUUUACAAUUGCAAUUGCCUGAGUGUUCAUCUGGCCCUCACUCUGCCAGGCUGGACUUUCAUUGCAUGUUACUCACCAUCAGUGGCUUGAGAAAAUCUCUUUACAAGACUGUCUUUGGAGCUGGCAGGGCCACAUGUGACUCCAUUUGGAAAAGCAGGUUAGAAACUCUUCCCAAAGGUCUGACCCUGAGCUCUCUGUUUAACUCGGGCAAUUCCCAGUAAGGUCUUUCCCAGCCAGGAAAGCUGGGAAAGCUGUUCUAGUAGCACAGGCUUAUUUGUACUGAUUUUUAGUGAUGCAUUACAUUUCUGCUGUUCUGAAAGGGUAUAAAACUGCAUCAUUCUCAGAAGAUAGAAAAACACUUCACUGCUUUGCUAUGGUUGUGAUUUUGUGUUGAGGGGUAGUGUCCAUUUGCUACUAAACAAUGUCCCACCCUUAUAGGCAGGGUUUCUAAAUUGGGGAGCUAGAGCAGAUCUUUGCCCUUCUGGCACUAAAAUUAAAGAGAAAAGAGGUCUGAUCACAGACUAUUCAUUUCUAAGAGCAAUCUCCAAAAAUGAAGUAGUAAUGUGUACAUUAUCCCAGUAAUGAGCAAACCUGCAAGUCCAGCUUGCAAACUGGCAGUCAGAGGUUCCUGAUGCCAUAUGCCUGCAGAAGGUAUUCCUUUUUUGUGCUUUUUUUCACCUGUAUCAGUAUGAUUAACUCUGUUGUAAGUGAGAGCCAGCUCUAUCUGAAUUUGGGGGUUGAUGUUAGUGCUUUCAUAACAGACUUAAUACCUAAAAGUAUGUUUUAGGGUAUGCUCAAGACACGAUCUGUCUUCCUGUAUGUGAGCUCAGUCUCAGAAUUACAGCUAAACCUCUGCAGUUUAGAAUCUAGGUGAAGGUUUGAUUAUCUAGGAAGAAAAAAAAAA
Molecule: long non-coding RNA, 7368 nt
Organism: Taeniopygia guttata (zebra finch)
Lineage: Eukaryota; Metazoa; Chordata; Aves; Passeriformes; Estrildidae
Source: Ensembl